AGAGGGAGGGAGGGAGAACUUGACCCACACAUACAGUUUCUGCUGUAGUAAGAUGAGCCAGCACAGCGGCCUGUCUGCUGGGAGGAUCCAGCAGGUCAUGUUAAUGUCAACACCGCUGUCACAGCCCCUAAUGUUUACAGCCUUCUUCCUGCCAGCAACCACCCCAACACCAGCGGCAAACUGACUCCUUCCCAAGUCUUCCUCUACUGGCUGUCAUGUCAUGUGUUUGCCUGUGAAAUUACUACAACCCGUACUCCAUUCAACAGCUGCCAGCCUUGUCCUGUCUGUGCAGUCUUCUCAUGGAUGACGGCCACCUUGGAUGGUUUCAUUCAAGGAGACACCUCCACCCUAAGCCAGGGGGGUUUCUAAUGUAGUCAUGCCCAGCAAGUGUGGUAGAACGGCGUGUUUGAUUUGUAAAGAGGCACCAGCCAGGCUAGAGCAGGCGGCGGUGAUAUGAGACGUCUUCUGUGCUAUCGUAUGCGUGGGCAGGGACUCUGUCUGUAUCUGGUGCCAGCCUCUGUUUAUGACUAAUACACAUUAGGGGGAGAUUGCACAGGAGGAAAUCCCGAGGAAGGCUAGUUCAAAACAUUUCAGAGUGCAACAGGCAACAGUGAAACACUUCGAUAAACGUCCUAGUACAGCGGAUCACAGAGAGGGGAGGAGAGGAGGCCAAAGUUCAGCCACUGGAGUGAGAGGGAAGAAACAGUGGUUGUGAAAGCUUGUCACGUUAGGGUGGAACCCUGACAGAAGGGCCUGGUUGUGAGAGUCCACCUCAGGGAGGCAGGGCACAACGUCUACAAGCAGUCGGAAAAGGAAACCAUUAGUGUUGUUUUCUUUAGCUGUAGAUUAAAGCCAGGCAAGAGUGCCGAGUCAUCAUAAGUUCCUGCCUUCAUAGGUGUUUGUAUUGAACCUCAUCUCAGCCACUUCCUUUAAUCUUCAAACGAAGAUGGGGAAAAAAGACAAGUAUUUUGUCGGACAUUCCUCCCAGCUUGAAGUGUACAGUCGGUUCUGACUGGGUGAAAACACAGAGAAUCUGAAAACCGACAGACAACCCCAGGGGAGAUAAACACAGCAGGGACAUUUUGCACACGACUAGGUUGAGGCAUGGCCUGUGUUGGAACCACUGACACUGAAACAGGGUCAAGUUAUUUCAGCUUAAAACAAUAAGGAAAUCAAACUCAACGACACAGUGUACUGUACCUACUGGUAUUAUGGAGAUGGUCGUGUUACUUUGUGACCUCAAAGUUGCUACUCUGCCUCGAGUUGGGAAAGUGAGUUUCAUUAGUUCCUUAAGCAAGACGAAGCAACAAGACUGUUGGUUAAUCUCUCGAGGAUACUCAAAUGGCAUAUUUUAUCACUGAAGCGAAAGAGUAAACAAACCAACAGGAUGUUGUUUAUGCCACCCUGCCUCCACUUCAAAGAGUUCUUUGUGGGACGUGUUCUAAAGAGAGAGAACGCUAACAACAUACCAGAAGUCCAUAAUUAGAUCUACAUACCGUUCUGGAGAGGAAAAAUGUCAUUGUUAUGUGUUCAGGAGAAAUAAACCGUUUUGUAACACAAUA
Molecule: long non-coding RNA, 1562 nt
Organism: Hypomesus transpacificus
Lineage: Eukaryota; Metazoa; Chordata; Actinopteri; Osmeriformes; Osmeridae
Exons: 3
Source: RefSeq, a predicted model, not a curated record